This 425-nucleotide ribosomal RNA is filed under the name uncultured bacterium. Its description in RNAcentral is "bacterial SSU rRNA". It matches the Rfam family "Bacterial small subunit ribosomal RNA", at positions 774 to 1210 of the family's 1533-position model. The record is from RNAcentral.
AGUGAAUAGAUACCCGGGUAGUCCACGCCGUAAACGAUGGAUGCUAGCUGUUAGGAGUAUCGACCCUUCUAGUAGCGAAAGCUAACGCGUUAAGCAUCCCGCCUGGGGAGUACGGUCGCAAGAUUAAAACUCAAAGGAAUUGACGGGGACCCGCGCAAGUGGUGGAGCGUGUUCUUUAAAUUCGAUGGUAAGCGAAGAACCUUACCAGGGCUUGACAUCCUUGGAAUUUCUCCGAAAGGAGAGAGUACUUUAUUGGACCAAGUGACAGGUGUUGCAUGGCCGUCGUCAGCUCGUGUCGUGAGAUGUUAGGUUAAGUCCUUCAACGAGCGCAACCCUUAUGUUUAGUUGGAUUUUCUAAACAGACUGCCUCGGUAACGGGGUAGGAAGGAGGGGAUGAUGUCAGGUCAUUAUUACCCUUACGCCCU